CAAUUGGCCGAAAAAUACCGCCGAAGACCAGCGACGCCGUCGCGGGUUCCCUCAAUUUUUGCCUUCGAUGAGGCCCUUCCCGAUUCCCGUUCGAUGUAAUUUUUACAGCACUGUAACCACCAUCCUUUUCUCUACAGGUUGACCAGAGCAAAAUACUAAAUCGCAACUCGCGCCGGAGGAGCCGCCGCACCCGAGAGCUCCACCAUCGAUAAGUCUCAGUUUUUUAUAAUU
This 231-nucleotide long non-coding RNA is filed under the name Carica papaya (papaya). Its description in RNAcentral is "long non-coding RNA (CPAP_LNC008308)". Lineage: Eukaryota; Viridiplantae; Streptophyta; Magnoliopsida; Brassicales; Caricaceae. The record is from RNAcentral.